RNAcentral lists this ribosomal RNA (315 nucleotides) under uncultured Actinomycetes bacterium. Its description in RNAcentral is "bacterial SSU rRNA". It matches the Rfam family "Bacterial small subunit ribosomal RNA", at positions 1036 to 1350 of the family's 1533-position model. Lineage: Bacteria; Bacillati; Actinomycetota; Actinomycetes. The record is from RNAcentral.
AGGUGGUGCAUGGUUGUCGUCAGCUCGUGUCGUGAGAUGUUGGGUUAAGUCCCGCAACGAGCGCAACCCUCGUUCUAUGUUGCCAGCACGUAAUGGUGGGAACUCAUGGGAUACUGCCGGGGUCAACUCGGAGGAAGGUGGGGAUGACGUCAAAUCAUCAUGCCCCUUAUGUCUUGGGCUUCACGCAUGCUACAAUGGCCGGUACAAAGGGCUGCAAUACCGUAAGGUGGAGCGAAUCCCAAAAAGCCGGUCCCAGUUCGGAUUGAGGUCUGCAACUCGACCUCAUGAAGUCGGAGUCGCUAGUAAUCGCAGAUC